This 497-nucleotide ribosomal RNA is filed under the name uncultured bacterium. RNAcentral's name for it is "partial 16S ribosomal RNA". It matches the Rfam family "Bacterial small subunit ribosomal RNA", at positions 28 to 507 of the family's 1533-position model. The record is from RNAcentral.
GAUGAACGCUGGCGGCGUGCCUAAUACAUGCAAGUCGAGCGAACGGACGAGAAUCUUGCUUCUCUGGUGUUAGCGGCGGACGGGUAAGUAACACGUGGAUAACCUACCUAUAAGACCGGGAUAACUGCGGGAAACCGGAGCUAAUACCGGAUGAUAUUUUGAGCCGCAUGGUCCAACAGUGAAAGGCGGUCGGGCUGUCACGUAUAGAGGGAUCCGCGCUGCAUUAGCUAGUUGGUAAGGUAACGGCUUACCAAGGCAACGAUGCAUAGCCGACCUGGGAGGGUGGUCGGCCACACUGGAACUGGGCCACGCUCCCGACUCCUACGGGAGGCAGCAGUAGGGAACCUUCCGCAAUCGGCGAAUGCCUUACGGAGCAACGCCGCGUGCGUGAUGAAGGUCUUCGGACCGUAGCACUCUGCUACCCGCGAAGAACAUAUGUGUAAGUAACUGAGGACAUCUUGACGGUCCCUAGUAAGAUAGACACGGCUAACUCCAUG